CUAGUUGAACUGGUCAGCCGUGACUGGCGCUGGCUAGGCCGGCUAGGUUGGUGGUGGAAGCUCCGAUGCUGUUGGCUGCACUUGGUUAUUGCCCUGACCUACCAUUUGGUGGGAGGCGGUGGCAUUGGAGUCGGAAAGAUGUUUGUUUAGGAGCCAUGAUGCGAGUGUUAACCCUUCCUCUAUCUGUUGCUGUCAAAAUUGAUCG
This 205-nucleotide long non-coding RNA is filed under the name Elaeis guineensis (African oil palm). RNAcentral's name for it is "long non-coding RNA (EGUI_LNC040323)". The record is from RNAcentral. Lineage: Eukaryota; Viridiplantae; Streptophyta; Magnoliopsida; Arecales; Arecaceae.